AUUUGGAUGUCCAAUCUAGCUUUCUUGGACUUCAAAAUUCAUCUCAACCCAACUACAGAGUGGAUCAACAAGCUUGGACAACCUAAAAGAGCUCAAAUAGAUCACUAAAAGAGAAGGAAGCUCAAAUCGUCCACCACAUGCUCAAAACCGACCAAGGACUUGUUCUUCAUCUACCUCAACCACAUGCCUUGAAUUUAGGAAAAACCAAAUCAGCUUUAUGGAGAUCAAGGGGUCGACACCAACAUGGAGAAAAUUAAGGAAAAAUUGACGCCAAAAAUAGCAAGAGAUAUUAGGGACUCACUAGUAUAAAUAGGGGCAAGCAUUUGAGAGGAAAAUAGCACUAGCAAGAAGCUAAACACUUAUCAAAAAUUGAGAGCAGAAAACACUUAUCAAAAAUUGAGAGCAGCAAGUAAGCAAUAACUUGAUAGCAUUUAGGUGAGAAUGACACCUAGGAGAGGGGGAGAACUAUCGUGAGAAGCAAGCAAGAAACAGUUGCGGAGAAUCACUGAAUUCGGUUGUUAUCUCUUCUUAUUGUGCACUAGCCAUGGAUAAUCCCCCUCGGAACAAAAGAAGGAAAAAAAGUUCUUUCAUCUCAACUAUUUCCGAAAGCUUCCAUGGGCAUAGGUUUCAAAUAAAAGCUAUAAGAGUUUCAUGCUCAAGCAUCCAACUCUUAGAUUCAACUUGGAAACUUUUACAAUCUUAUUUUGUAUGUAUAUAUAUGUUUUAAAGUCAUACGGCAUGUACCUAAAUAGGUAGGCUUGUUGUGUAAGUAAGUUUUGACACUUUUGAUAAGUGACAUGUAAUGUUAUAUUGGUUGAGCUUUACCUUUUGAUUACUAGUUAGUUAUA
Long non-coding RNA from Gossypium arboreum, 848 nucleotides. RefSeq lists it as uncharacterized. Lineage: Eukaryota; Viridiplantae; Streptophyta; Magnoliopsida; Malvales; Malvaceae. The record is from RefSeq and is a predicted model, not a curated record. The transcript has 3 exons.